Molecule: ribosomal RNA, 476 nt
Filed under: uncultured organism
Description: partial 16S ribosomal RNA
Rfam family: Bacterial small subunit ribosomal RNA
Source: RNAcentral
UACACUCCUGCGGGAGGCAGCAGUGGGGAAUUUUGGACAAUGGGCGAAAGCCUGAUCCAGCCAUGCCGCGUGCAGGAUGAAGGCCUUCGGGUUGUAAACUGCUUUUGUACGGAACGAAACGGCCUUUUCUAAUAAAGAGGGCUAAUGACGGUACCGUAAGAAUAAGCACCGGCUAACUACGUGCCAGCAGCCGCGGUAAUACGUAGGGUGCAAGCGUUAAUCGGAAUUACUGGGCGUAAAGCGUGCGCAGGCGGUUAUGUAAGACAGUUGUGAAAUCCCCGGGCGCAACCUGGGAACUGCAUCUGUGACUGCAUAGCUAGAGUACGGUAGAGGGGGAUGGAAUUCCGCGUGUAGCAGUGAAAUGCGUAGAUAUGCGGAGGAACACCGAUGGCGAAGGCAAUCCCCUGGACCUGUACUGACGCUCAUGCACGAAAGCGUGGGGAGCAAACAGGAUUAGAAACCCUGGUAGUCCCAUG